Molecule: transfer RNA, 66 nt
Filed under: Alopoglossus buckleyi (Buckley's teiid)
Lineage: Eukaryota; Metazoa; Chordata; Lepidosauria; Squamata; Alopoglossidae
Description: tRNA-His
Rfam family: tRNA
About the family: Transfer RNA (tRNA) molecules are approximately 80 nucleotides in length. Their secondary structure includes four short double-helical elements and three loops (D, anti-codon, and T loops).
Source: RNAcentral
AGUCCGCAUAGUUUAAAGAAAACACUAGGCUGUGAACCUAGAAAUAGGCAUCUUGCCUUACAGACC